RNAcentral lists this ribosomal RNA (236 nucleotides) under uncultured fungus. RNAcentral's name for it is "partial 26S ribosomal RNA". It matches the Rfam family "Eukaryotic large subunit ribosomal RNA", at positions 38 to 281 of the family's 3401-position model. Lineage: Eukaryota; Fungi. The record is from RNAcentral.
GCAUAUCAAUAAGCGGAGGAAAAGAAACUAGCCAGGAUUCCCCUAGUAACGGCGAGUGAAACGGGAAUAGCCCAACUUGAAAAUCUCUUCGGAGAAUUGUAGUCUAUAGAAGCGCCCUCUGUAGCGGCGGGACCCCAAGUCUGGUGGAAGCCAGCGUCAGAGAGGGUGAGAACCCCGUCGGGUCUACGCUUAGCUGCUUCACGAGGUGCUUUCCACGAGUCGAGUUGUUUGGGAAU